AGAUUCAUAAAACACCGGCCACU
Molecule: small nuclear RNA, 23 nt
Filed under: Arabidopsis thaliana (thale cress)
Lineage: Eukaryota; Viridiplantae; Streptophyta; Magnoliopsida; Brassicales; Brassicaceae
Description: snRNA_07847
Source: RNAcentral